AGGGUUUUAGGAUAAUAUUUAAACCAAAAGCCUUCAAAGCUUUAAAUAAGAGUGAAAAUCUCUUAAUCCUUA
Molecule: transfer RNA, 72 nt
Filed under: Aphyosemion coeleste (sky-blue killifish)
Lineage: Eukaryota; Metazoa; Chordata; Actinopteri; Cyprinodontiformes; Nothobranchiidae
Description: tRNA-Trp
Rfam family: tRNA
About the family: Transfer RNA (tRNA) molecules are approximately 80 nucleotides in length. Their secondary structure includes four short double-helical elements and three loops (D, anti-codon, and T loops).
Source: RNAcentral